UACGUAGGGUGCAAGCGUUGUCCGGAAUUAUUGGGCGUAAAGAGCUCGUAGGCGGCUUGUUGCGUCGGAUGUGAAAGCCCGGGGCUUAACCCCCGGGUCUGCAUUCGAUACGGGCAGGCUGGAGUUCGGUAGGGGAGAUCGGAAUUCCUGGUGUAGCGGUGAAAUGCGCAGAUAUCAGGAGGAACACCGGUGGCGAAGGCGGAUCUCUGGGCCGAUACUGACGCUGAGGAGCGAAAGCGUGGGGAGCGAACAGG
This 254-nucleotide ribosomal RNA is filed under the name uncultured bacterium. RNAcentral describes it as "partial 16S ribosomal RNA". It matches the Rfam family "Bacterial small subunit ribosomal RNA", at positions 524 to 776 of the family's 1533-position model. The record is from RNAcentral.